CAAUAGCGUAUAUUAAAGUUGUUGCAGUUAAAAAGCUCGUAGUUGGAUUUGUGGCGCACGGCGGGUUCCGGGCACUUGUUGUCUGAGUAACUUGCUGUUGCCAUCCUUGGGUGGAACCUGUGUGGCAUUAGGUUGUCGUGCAGGGGAUGCCCAUCGUUUACUGUGAAAAAAUUAGAGUGUUCAAAGCAGGCUUAUGCCGUUGAAUGUAUUAGCAUGGAAUAAUGAGAUAGGACUUUUUUGCUAUUUUGUUGGUUUGCGCAAAGAGGUAAUGAUUAAUAGGGACAGUUGGGGGUAUUCGCAUUCCAUUGUCAGAGGUGAAAUUCUUGGAUUUUUGGAAGACGAACUACUGCGAAAGCAUUUACCAAGGAUGUUUUCAUUAA
This 380-nucleotide ribosomal RNA is filed under the name uncultured eukaryote. RNAcentral's name for it is "partial 18S ribosomal RNA". It matches the Rfam family "Eukaryotic small subunit ribosomal RNA", at positions 592 to 976 of the family's 1831-position model. The record is from RNAcentral.